AGAGUUUGAUCAUGGCUCAGAACGAACGCUGGCGGCGUGCUUAACACAUGCAAGUCUAACGAGAAAGUUCUCUUCGGAGAGUGAGUACAGUGGCGCACGGGUGAGUAAUACGUGGGUAACCUACCCUUCAGCCUGGGAUAACAUCUCGAAAGGGGUGCUAAUACCGGAUACGUUCAGAGAGACUUCGGUCUUUCUGGAGAAAGAUGGCCUCUACUUGUAAGCUGUCACUGAGGGAUGGGCCCACGGACCAUUAGCUUGUUGGUGGGGUAACGGCCUACCAAGGCAACGAUGGUUAGCUGGUCUGAGAGGAUGAUCAGCCACACUGGUACUGGAACACGGACCAGACUCCUACGGGAGGCAGCAGUGGGGAAUAUUGCGCAAUGGGGGAAACCCUGACGCAGCAACGCCGCGUGAGUGAUGAAGGCCUUCGGGUCGUAAAGCUCUGUCAGAGGGGAAGAAGGUGGUGAGGUUAAUACCCUCGCUCACUUGACGGUACCCUCAAAGGAAGCACCGGCUAACUCCGUGCCAGCAGCCGCGGUAAUACGGAGGGUGCAAGCGUUGUUCGGAAUCACUGGGCGUAAAGGGCGCGUAGGCGGUUGUCUAAGUCAGAUGUGA
Molecule: ribosomal RNA, 615 nt
Filed under: bacterium enrichment culture clone BIG B-Brut-35
Lineage: Bacteria
Description: bacterial SSU rRNA
Rfam family: Bacterial small subunit ribosomal RNA
Source: RNAcentral